GAUGAACGCUGGCGGCGUGCCUAAUACAUGCAAGUCGAGCGAACGGACGAGAAGCUUGCUUCUCUGAUGUUAGCGGCGGACGUGUGAGUAACACGUGGAUAACCUACCUAUAAGACUGGGAUAACUUCGGGAAACCGGAGCUAAUACCGGAUAAUAUUUUGAACCGCAUGGUUCAAAAGUGAAAGACGGUCUUGCUGUCACUUAUAGAUGGAUCCGCGCUGCAUUAGCUAGUUGGUAAGGUAACGGCUUACCAAGGCAACGAUGCAUAGCCGACCUGAGAGGGGGAUCGGCCACACUGGAACUGAGACACGGUCCAGACACCUACGGGAGGCAGCAGUAGGGAAUCUUCCGCAAUGGGCGAAAGCAUGACGGAGCAACGCCGCGUGAGUGAUGAAGGUCUUCGGAUCGUAAAACUCUGUUAUUAGGGAAGAACAUAUGUGUAAGUAACUGUGCACAUCUUGACGGUACCUAAUCAGAAAGCCACGGCUAACUACGUG
RNAcentral lists this ribosomal RNA (497 nucleotides) under uncultured bacterium. RNAcentral describes it as "partial 16S ribosomal RNA". It matches the Rfam family "Bacterial small subunit ribosomal RNA", at positions 28 to 507 of the family's 1533-position model. The record is from RNAcentral.